This 86-nucleotide transfer RNA is filed under the name Merdimmobilis hominis. RNAcentral describes it as "tRNA-Leu". It matches the Rfam family "tRNA". Rfam says of the family: Transfer RNA (tRNA) molecules are approximately 80 nucleotides in length. Their secondary structure includes four short double-helical elements and three loops (D, anti-codon, and T loops). Lineage: Bacteria; Bacillati; Bacillota; Clostridia; Eubacteriales; Oscillospiraceae. The record is from RNAcentral.
GCGAAGGUGGCGGAAUGGCAUACGCGCUAGCUUGAGGUGCUAGUGUCGGAUUCGAUGUGUGGGUUCAAAUCCCAUCCUUCGCACCA